This 72-nucleotide transfer RNA is filed under the name Mycetomoellerius zeteki. RNAcentral's name for it is "Trachymyrmex zeteki tRNA". It matches the Rfam family "tRNA". From Rfam's summary of the family: Transfer RNA (tRNA) molecules are approximately 80 nucleotides in length. Their secondary structure includes four short double-helical elements and three loops (D, anti-codon, and T loops). The record is from Rfam by way of RNAcentral. Lineage: Eukaryota; Metazoa; Arthropoda; Insecta; Hymenoptera; Formicidae.
GCCUCGGUAGUCUAAAACUUAGGACACUCGUAUGCAAUACAAGAGAUUCGGAUUCAACUCCCGGCCGAGGUA